Cinara cedri is the source of this 310-nucleotide non-coding RNA. The record is from the annotation of a GenBank genome assembly. NCBI's taxonomy places the organism in Eukaryota, Metazoa, Arthropoda, Insecta, Hemiptera, Aphididae.
AAAAUUUGUUUUCUAGUUUAAACGAGGAACUGUCUCCCAAGUAUCAUACAAUUUGUUACUACAGGGCUAUAAUUGUCUGCUAAUGCAGUUCUGGAUACAGUGACGCCUAGUGGUUUUUCAAAAGCAUGUACUGUUUUAUUAAUUGGGGGGAGGGGAGGUUGGAAGUUUUUAUUAAUAUUAUCUGAUUGGGGGUACUUCAAAACUCGUUCUGGUCACAGAUGACUCGGCCUUGCAUGUGGAGGAUUAAUACACAAAAUAUCUUUUGUAACCUACCCACCCACCUAUGGAUACCGAUGCAGUAGUAUUGCUU